UGGCUUAAUUUGACUCAACGCGGGAAAUCUUACCGGGUCCGGACACACUGAGGAUUGACAGAUAUAUAUACACCGUCGGUACUUGUAUCGCGGUGUUGAAAGAUGCUAGUUCUUUCAUGAUUAUGUGAUAGGUGGUGCAUGGCCGUUCUUAGUUCGUGGAGUGAUCUGUCUGCUUAAUUGCGUAUCAUAAAAAGAGACCUAGUAUACGCGUAAGAUAUCGUUUACGGUUCGUGACCCCCUUCGGGCGUGUGUCGCACGUACGUAUCAUACGCACUGGUCUCCGAUAGCAACGAACGUGACCGUACUCUAUUGUUGCAGCGAAUGUAUGCAUCUUCGGGUGUAUCUACCGCUGCUUAGCAUAUUUCAUGCCUCGUGCGUGUGUAUGCAUUAAACUAUAGAGACCGCUGUAUUUUUUUUAAACCAGAGGAAGGAUACGGCAAUAACAGGUCUGUGAUGCC
Molecule: ribosomal RNA, 458 nt
Filed under: Ammonia sp. genotype T1
Lineage: Eukaryota; Foraminifera; Rotaliida; Rotaliidae
Description: SSU rRNA
Rfam family: Eukaryotic small subunit ribosomal RNA
Source: RNAcentral